UUCUAUUACCGAAAUUUAUUUAUUCAAUUGAAUGUGAUGAAAUUUCAAUUAAUAAAAAAAUGUUAUAACUUGAAACAAUGGUUGAUAGAAAUUUACUAUACAUUUGAUUGUUUACGUCAAUUUAAAAGUAUUAGAAAAAAUUAAUUGAAAUGUGAUAUUUUUAGUAACACCGUAUGUAAUUAGAUGCGAACCAGACAUAACAUUUAUUUCAAUAUGUAGAUUUCAAUAUAUUAAACCUUUGCAAUUUGGCCAUCUCGGAAUAUUCUGUACAUCCAUAGAUUUAACAAAAUUCUUUUUACUUCUGAAAUUAAGAUUUUACUGACUCAAACUUAAAUGAUGCUGAUCUACAUUUAACUAAUUCAUAAGAAGUUGUUGUGUAUUCCUGAGGUGUCGUAGGAUUCCAUGCCAUGCAAGUAAUAGAUGAUGGAAUUUUCACAUAGCCAAUAGGUAUAAUUGUAGGAUAAUUAUUAAUAGUAUGAAUAU
Molecule: long non-coding RNA, 483 nt
Organism: Frieseomelitta varia
Lineage: Eukaryota; Metazoa; Arthropoda; Insecta; Hymenoptera; Apidae
Exons: 4
Source: RefSeq, a predicted model, not a curated record